GGGGAAUAUUGCGCAAUGGGGGGAACCCUGACGCAGCCAUGCCGCGUGAAUGAAGAAGGCCUUCGGGUUGUAAAGUUCUUUCGGUAUUGAGGAAGGUUGAUGUGUUAAUAGCACAUCAAAUUGACGUUAAAUACAGAAGAAGCACCGGCUAACUCCGUGCCAGCAGCCGCGGUAAUACGGAGGGUGCGAGCGUUAAUCGGAAUAACUGGGCGUAAAGGGCACGCAGGCGGUUAUUUAAGUGAGGUGUGAAAGCCCCGGGCUUAACCUGGGAAUUGCAUUUCAGACUGGGCAACUAGAGUACUUUAGGGAGGGGUAGAAUUCCACGUGUAGCGGUGAAAUGCGUAGAGAUGUGGAGGAAUACCGAAGGCGAAGGCAGCCCCUUGGGAAUGUACUGACGCUCAUGUGCGAAAGCGUGGGGAGCAAACAGGAUUAGAUACCCUGGUAGUCCACGCUGUAAACGCUGUCGAUUUGGGGGUUGGGGUUUAACUCUGGCGCCCGUAGCUAACGUGAUAAAUCGACCGCCUGGGGAGUACGGCCGCAAGGUUA
Molecule: ribosomal RNA, 546 nt
Filed under: uncultured bacterium
Lineage: Bacteria
Description: bacterial SSU rRNA
Rfam family: Bacterial small subunit ribosomal RNA
Source: RNAcentral